UACGAAGGUGGCAAGCGUUACUCGGAAUUACUAGGCGUAAAGGGCAGGUAGGUGGUUUGGUAAGUCUGUUGUGAAAUUUCCCGGCUUAACUGGGAAGGGUCAACAGAUACUGCCAGGCUUGAGUAUAGGAGAGGGUACUGGAAUUCCCGGUGUAGCGGUGAAAUGCGCAGAGAUCGGGAGGAACACCAAUGGCGAAAGCAGGUACCUGGACUAUUACUGACACUCAGCUGCGAAAGCUAGGGGAGCAAACAGG
This 253-nucleotide ribosomal RNA is filed under the name uncultured bacterium. RNAcentral describes it as "partial 16S ribosomal RNA". It matches the Rfam family "Bacterial small subunit ribosomal RNA", at positions 524 to 776 of the family's 1533-position model. The record is from RNAcentral.